This 451-nucleotide ribosomal RNA is filed under the name uncultured Candidatus Nitrosopumilus sp. RNAcentral describes it as "bacterial SSU rRNA". It matches the Rfam family "Archaeal small subunit ribosomal RNA", at positions 105 to 536 of the family's 1478-position model. Lineage: Archaea; Thermoproteati; Nitrososphaerota; Nitrososphaeria; Nitrosopumilales; Nitrosopumilaceae. The record is from RNAcentral.
UAACCCACCCUUGAGACGGGGAAAACCCCGGGAAACUGGGGUUAAUCCCCGAUAAGAGAAGACACUUGGAACGGGUCUCCUCUCAAAGGGCGCCUAGACCAUGCUUCUGGGCGUUGCUCAAGGACGGGGCCGCGGCCGAUCAGGUUGUUGGUGAGGCAAAGGCUCACCAAGCCUAUAACCGGUACGGGCCGUGAGAGCGGGAGCCCGGAGAUGGGUACUGAGACACGGACCCAGGCCCUAUGGGGCGCAGCAGGCGAGAAAACUUUGCAAUGUGCGAAAGCACGACAAGGUUAAUCCGAGUGGUUUCUGCUAAAGGAACCUUUUGCCAGUCCUAGAAACACUGGUGAAUAAGGGGUGGGCAAGUUCUGGUGUCAGCCGCCGCGGUAAAACCAGCACCUCAAGUGGUCAGGAUGAUUAUUUGGGCCUAAAGCAUCCGUAGCCUGCUUUGUCA